Molecule: ribosomal RNA, 196 nt
Filed under: Penicillium speluncae
Lineage: Eukaryota; Fungi; Ascomycota; Eurotiomycetes; Eurotiales; Aspergillaceae
Description: partial 28S ribosomal RNA
Rfam family: Eukaryotic large subunit ribosomal RNA
Source: RNAcentral
UUGACCUCGGAUCAGGUAGGGAUACCCGCUGAACUUAAGCAUAUCAAUAAGCGGAGGAAAAGAAACCAACAGGGAUUGCCCCAGUAACGGCGAGUGAAGCGGCAAGAGCUCAAAUUUGAAAGCUGGCUCCUUCGGGGUCCGCAUUGUAAUUUGCAGAGGAUGCUUCGGGAGCGGUCCCCAUCUAAGUGCCCUGGAA